UACGGAGGGUGCGAGCGUUAUUCGGAAUUACUGGGCGUAAAGCGCGUGUAGGCGGGGAUGCAAGUCUGAUGUGAAAGCCCCGGGCUUAACCUGGGAAGUGCAUUGGAAACUGUAUUUCUUGAGUGCUGGAGAGGAAGGGGGAAUUCCCGGUGUAGAGGUGAAAUUCGUAGAGAUCGGGAGGAAUACCAGUGGCGAAGGCGCCCUUCUGGACGGCAACUGACGCUGAGACGCGAAAGCGUGGGGAGCAAACAGGAUUAGAUACCCCUGUAGUCCC
RNAcentral lists this ribosomal RNA (274 nucleotides) under uncultured Syntrophobacter sp. Its description in RNAcentral is "partial 16S ribosomal RNA". It matches the Rfam family "Bacterial small subunit ribosomal RNA", at positions 524 to 797 of the family's 1533-position model. The record is from RNAcentral. Lineage: Bacteria; Pseudomonadati; Thermodesulfobacteriota; Syntrophobacteria; Syntrophobacterales; Syntrophobacteraceae.